RNAcentral lists this ribosomal RNA (408 nucleotides) under uncultured bacterium. RNAcentral describes it as "partial 16S ribosomal RNA". It matches the Rfam family "Bacterial small subunit ribosomal RNA", at positions 28 to 526 of the family's 1533-position model. The record is from RNAcentral.
GACGAACGCUGGCGGCGUGCUUAACACAUGCAAGUCGAACGAAGUGGCGAACGGGUGAGUAACGCGUAAUCAACCUGCCCUUCAGAGGGGGACAAAAGGUGGAAACGACUGCUAAUACCGCAUAAUGAAGGAGGGGAUUGCGUCUGAUUAGCUAGUUGGAGGGGUAACGGCCCACCAAGGCGAGGAUCAGUAGCCGUGCUGAGAGGAUGAACGGCCACAUUGGGACUGAGACACGGCCCAGACUCCUACGGGAGUCAGCAGGGGGGAAUCUUCCGCAAUGGACGAAAGUCUGACGGAGCAACGCCGCGUGAGUGAUGACGGCCUUCGGGUUGUAAAGCUCUGUUAAUCGGGACGCGGUACCGGAAUAGAAAGCAACGGCUAACUACGUGCCAGCAGCCGCGGUAAUUC